Long non-coding RNA from Cucumis melo (muskmelon), 799 nucleotides. RefSeq lists it as uncharacterized. NCBI's taxonomy places the organism in Eukaryota, Viridiplantae, Streptophyta, Magnoliopsida, Cucurbitales, Cucurbitaceae. The transcript has 3 exons. The record is from RefSeq and is a predicted model, not a curated record.
CUUCAUUACUUACAAAAAAGCCCUAGCAUAAAAUUUUCUCUCAAUAAAUUUCUCUCCAUUUUUUUCUCAAUUUAAUUAUGCAAUUCUUUAAUUUCGACAAGAUUUUCAUAAUGAGGGCAUGCAAGGUGUCUUCGAUGUGCAAGGCAUUGAAUCUUUAUUAGAAAAUUAAAGUGGGUUCGUGAAGUUCUUGAAUCGAGCCACAUACGCAAACAUCAAGCCGUUUGAGCCGCACAUGCAAGCCACCCGAGCCGGUCCUUCCUUCACAAGCCGCGUGCAAGCCAAGUCCUUUACCAAGUUGUUUCUAAGCCGUUUCCAAGUCGCUCCUUGCUUAGUCGAGCAACCAACAUCAUUUUUCUCUUUUUCCACCUAUUUUUAGCCCGUUGUGUUAAAGGUAGAAGUAAGGGUCAACUGGUGUCGUUCAGGGGGGAGCGAUAUCAGUUGGCUUCAUGACGUUGUCUCGGGCCUAGAGAGGAGAUGCUCGGGACGAGGUGUGACAAUUCUUGUUGUGAUCUGGAAUAGAAUGCAUCAUACUUGUUGUGAUCUAAUAUGGGAUGCCCCUUGCUUGUUGUAUGAUCUUCUAGAUGCGUUAUGCGUAAUGGAAUUGAUGAAACUUGCUAAAUAUGUUGUGACUACUCCGUACAACUGCAACUUGGCAAAAGAGUGUGGUAAACGCUUGAACUAAGAAAACGGUACAAAAAUGUAAUUAAAUAAGCAGAAUGAUUCUGAUGAAUGUGUUUCUACAUGAUAUAAGCCUUAUGCUUGAUUUAAAAAGGAAAUGAUUUUCCAUGCAAUUUGUAAA